Molecule: ribosomal RNA, 469 nt
Filed under: uncultured bacterium
Lineage: Bacteria
Description: partial 16S ribosomal RNA
Rfam family: Bacterial small subunit ribosomal RNA
Source: RNAcentral
GACGAACGCUGGCGGCGUGCUUAACACAUGCAAGUCGAACGGAAAGGCCCUGCUUUCAGGGUGCUCGUGUGGCGAGCGGGUGAGUAACACGUGGGUGAUCUGCCCCUUUCUUUGGGUUAAGCCUGGGAAACUGGGUGUAAUACUUGAUAGGAACAUUCUGUAGGCGGUUUGGUGGAAAGAGUAGUUUCGUUGUGGGAUGAGCUCUCGGCCUAUCCGCUUGUUGGUGGGUAAUUGGCCUACCAAGGCGUCGACGGGUCGCCGGCCUCAGAGGGUGGACGGCACCAUCGGGACUGCGACAGGACGCAGCAGCCUACGGGAGGCAGCAGAGGGGAAAAUCGCGCAAUGGGCGCACGCCUGAUGCAGCGACGCCGCGUGGGGGGUGACGGCCUUCGGGUUGUAAACUCCUUACAGCCAUGACGAAGCCCUUGUCGUGACGGUAGUGGUAGAAGAAGCACCGGCUAACUACGUG